GCAUCGGCAGGCGGACUCUCAACCACUGCGCCACCAGAGAAGCCCAUCCCCUAAUUUUUAAUACUUCUAUACAAUUUUUAAAACUGUCUAUAGGUGUCCAUAAGAUCUGACUUGUUUAAAAUUUUUGUAUCUUUAUUGAUUUAUUUUUGUUUGCUUAACCCAUCAAGAAUUGAGAAAAAAAGUGUGUGGAAUCUCUUUGAGUAGUAGAUAUGUCAAUUUCUCUCUGUAGUACUUCCAUUUUAAAAAAAUAUAUUACUUUGAGGAUGUUUUAUGAGGUACAUACAAGUUGAGUUGUUAUAUCUUCAUGGAGAAUUAAAGUUUUUAUCCCUAUGUAGUGACCUUUUAUAUCACUUUGUGUCUAGAAAUCUAUUUUGUUCAACAUUAGUAUAGCUAUUCCUGCUUUCUUUUGUUUAUUAUUUACCUGGUUUACCUUUUUCCAUUAUUUCAACCUUUUCAGGGCCUUAUGCUUUAGGUAUGUCUCUCAUUAACUGCUUAUAGCUGAAUUCUGUCUCCUCCCCCCUCAAUCUGAUAAUCAGCACCUUUUUAACUAGCAAGUUUAGUCUGUUUGCAUUUAGUGUAGUUAUUGAUAUAUUUGAUGUGUUUGUACUGUCUUGCACUUUAAUUUUAUUUGUCCAUUUUUCCUGUAUUUUCCCCUCCUUUCUUUUUUUUGUUUGUUUUUUAAGUGGAGAGGGUUUUUUUCUUUUUUUUCUUUUUCCUCUUUACAUGUUUGAAAUUUAUAACUUAUAUACAUUCGUUUGGUGGUUACCCUUGAAAUUUUAUCGUGCAUACUUGCAAGCCUAGGUUUAAACAAUAUGUUAACCUCUUUCAGAAUAAUGCAAGGACUUAGGAACUACUGAUCACAUCCCCCAUUGACUUAAAAGCUAUUGUUUUCUGCAUUUUAUUUAUUUUUUAUUUUUUCGGACUUGCUGAGCAGCUUGCAGGAUCUUAGUUCCCCGACCAGGGAUCGAACCUGUGCCCCCUGCAUUGGAAGUGCAGAGCCCUAACCACUGGACCGCCAGGGAAGUCCCUGUUUUUUGCAUUUUAAUUCUGUCCUCUUAAUAAAUUAGAUAUUAUAGAAUUAUUAUUUUAUACAGACAAUGUUUGUUUGGAUUUACAUAUAUGUUUAUCAUUUAUUUGCUUGCCAUUCUUUCUUCUGUCUCAGGCUUUCCUUCUGGGAUCACUUUUCUUUUUCCUGAAAUACAUUCUUCCUAGAAGUUCCUUUUUAAUGCAUCUUUAGACAUUCCAUUUGUUAUUUUUUUCACAACUGCAUGUUAUUUUCAGAUAAUUUCUUUGCUUUAUCAUCUUAUAAUUGCAUCUUUUAUUUUUUCAAAUAAUUCAUGUAUUGCUGUUCUGGUUCUGUAUCUGAUAGUUUAAAUAUCUGUAGUUGUUGGUAGUGUAAAUCUGUUUUAUGCUCACUCUCCCCUUUGAUGAGUUUAAUUAUGAGCUCAUUGAUUGAUCUUUAUUUGAGUCCUAUGGGAAAUUUUUCUCCAGGGGAAAUAUGCUUCUGUUUCUGCCAGAGCUUAGAGGAUGGUACUAACAUGAGAUGGUCCCAGUUCCUCAGAGGUCCCAGGUCAGGCUAAGCUUCCCACCCUGCAGCUGGCAUAAGGUUCCAUAUACCACAGCAGCGCUGCUAUUGGCAUCUCUGCAGGGCAGCCCGUCCUUUCCAACUGCCUGCCACUCUGCUCUCAGCUCACUGGGUUGUUUUGUCUUAUUUUAACUUUUCAGUUGUGGGGAAAGGAGUAGUCCUUUUUCUUUGUUUCCAGUUAGGUGAAAUUCCUUAUUUUUGUGACAUGAUAUUAUUGACCUGUAAAUCUUAUAAAUAUUUGUAGCAUCUGGUUUACUAUUUUUCAACUUAACUAGUAAUCCAAGAAAUGUUAUAAUAUAAUGAAAUGGCAUUUUUGCCACCUAUCAAAUUGUCAGAGAUGUGUUUUUUAAAAAUACUUACUGGCAAAACCAGGACACUCAAAUACUUUUAAACUAAAUGUCAUCUUGCUACAAACUUUUUGGAGGGCUUUGGAAAUAUGUGUCAGAAGUCUUUACCUAACAAACCUAACAAAAGUCUUUUAGCUAACAAUUCUACUUUUAGGAAUUUACCCUGAGAAAAAGAGUGGAUAAGUGCAUAUAAUUUAAAUACAGUGAUAUAACUUGCAGUAUCAUUAUGAUAAUGAAAAGUGGUAAGUAACUUUAGUGUCCAAUAUAGGGACAUUUUGUUGUUGUUGGUUUUUGUUUGUUUAUUUGUUUGUUUUUUGCGGUACGCGGGCCUCUCACUGUUGUGGCCUCUCCCGUUGCGGAGCACAGGCUCCGGACGUGCAGGCUCAGCGGCCAUGGCUCACGGGCCCAGCCACUCCGCGGCAUGUGGGAUCUUCCCGGACCGGGGCAUGAACCCGUAUCCCCUGCAUCGGCAGGCGGACUCUCAACCACUGCGCCACUAGGGAAGCCCCUGUUGUUUUGUUUUUAAUAUUUAUUUAUUUAUUUGGCUGUGUUGGAUCUUAGUUGCGGCACACGGGAUCUUUCGUUGCAAUGCGUGGGCUCUUUGCUGUGACGUGCGGGCUCCUCUCUAGUUGUGGCAUGCAGGUUUUCUCUUUAGUUGUGGCUCUCUAAUUGAGGCCCACGAGCUCAGUAGUUGUGACACAUGGGCUUAGUUGCUUCUCUGACUAGGGAUCGAACCCGCAUCCCCUGCAUUGGAAGGCAGAUUCUUUACCACUGGGCCACCAGGGAAGUCCUGGGAGAUUGUUAAAUUAUGAUAUAACCAUGAGAAGAGCCACUAUAUAGCCAUUAACAAGGUAUAGAAGAAUAUUUACUAAUAGGGGAAAAUGUUCAUGAUAUUUUAAUUGAAAAAUGUUUUAAAAAGUUGUCAAGAAUAUCCCCAAGUUUUAAAACUUACAUAUAUAUGCCAAAAUGUAAAUAGUAGUUAUUUGGGGGCAAUAUGAUUAUAUAUUUUGUAUUUUUUUUUGUAGUUUUCUCUUAUCUUCCAUAAUAGCACUUUUGUUAUCAGAAAAAAAUAGCAAAUGAAAUGUGAUUCUCAUUGCGAGAGUGGGAGGGAGGGGGUUAUUUGAAAUGUGUGUUGUUUUAUCAUCAAGUUUUCUUUCCAUAGAUGAAGGUUAAUUAUGUCAGUACAUACCCUAGGAAAAAGUUAUAAUUUAAGUGUCUAGCCUAGACAUACAAGCCAGCACUUCGUCAAACUAGUGGGCUAGAUUAGAGACUCAAAGUUGCCACUGCAUUUUUUAUAUUAUAUAAAAAGAGUAUGCACUGUUUAGAAAAAAUCCUCAGCCAAGUGAAUAAAUAGUACAGCCAUAUUGCAGACAUUUUACAAACAAGGAAUAUGAGGAAGAACCAAAAAAUGUAUUUCUUUACAUGAGAUCAAAUAGAGCAUAGGCUUAGAGGUUUCAUUUAUAUCAGCAGCUAAUUUAUGUGUGCCUGUACUACUUACUCACCGUGUGUAGGAUCAUUAUAGAUGUGAGACGUUGCAACACUGCAAGUGAUUUUUCAGCACAAUCUGUAGUGAUACAGCCUUAAAUACACUUGAUAUUGCUUGUUUAAUAGCUGAAAUAAAACCUGGGGUUGGGCAUUAAAAACUGUGGUUUUAGGCAUUUAUAAUGACACAUUUCUACUGUAUUAAAGAAUAAAUUUUUAAAAAUGACAAAAUUUAAUUGAUGUGAUCAUUCAUUAUUCAUAUCUGGUUAAAUUUGUAAAACAGACUCCUUUACAAAUAUUUUCAAUCUCCCAAUAUUUAAGACCAAGUCAAAAUAUUAUCAUUGCAUAUUGAUAAUCUGUUAUUCUCAUCUGGGUUUAUGUUUUGUCUGUUUAUUUCACUACCUAGACCAAUGUCCUUUAAAAGUGUUUUUAGGGACUUCCCUGGUGGUCCAGUGAUUAAGAACCCAUGCUUCCAGUGCAGGGGGCGCGGGUUCAAUCCCUGGCUGGGGAACUGAGAUCCCGCAUGCCGCGUGGUGCAGCCAAAAAAAAAAAGUGUUUUUAAAUUAGAAUUUGAUUUAUUUUAUUAAAUGCUGUUUUGCCAUCCUGUGAGAUGGUCAUAUGGAUUUUCCUUUUUUACUUGUUAUGAUUAUGUAUGUUAAUAGAUUUUCUAAUGCCAGCUGUUAUCAGGCUAAAUUCUUAGGGUCAAAUAAACAAAACAUUAGCAGUGUCUCUUUAUUCAAGACCAACUUGAAUAUUUCACCUUUACAGCCAGUUCCCAAAAGCUUCUCAUAAUUAAGAAUUGAAAAUUAGUACUACAGUGUGAACAUGCCUAAUUACUGGGAAUUUAUUUUCAUCAACUUUGUUUCUGAAGUUGCUGUAUUUCUAGACUUAGAAAUUUUCUGUUACUUGACUACAUUGCAGUGAAUGCUCUCUCUAGGAAAUAAGUUUGUGAUGAUUGAGAAACAGAAUUAAGACAGUGGAUAGAUAUCCAGAACAUAAGUCUUAAGUGUGCCUUUGAGUCACAUAAUAUAUAGUCUUAGAAAAUAAGUUACAGUUAUUGUAGACUAAGCAUUAAUGAUGUUGAUGUUUGAAUUUCAAUACUGACAGAUCACUAGUAAACUAUUUCAAAGCUUUAUAAAAGACAUUGAAUUUCAUUCUUAGAGUUUUCCCACAAUACAACUUAAUCUUUCUUCUUAGAACCAUAAUAAAUACAAAUAACCACACUAAAAGAUCUAUCACAUCCUCAUUCAUAUUAGACUUUUUUUUAAGUUGAGGUAUAGUUGAAUUACAAUAUUGUAUUAGUUUUAGGUGUACAACAUAGUGAUUCAAAAUUUUUAUAGAUUAUAUUCCAUUUAAAGUUAUAAAAUAUUGGGUAUAUUCCUGUGCUGUACAAUAUAUCCUUGUAGCUUAUUUAUUUUAUUCAUAGUAGUUUGCGCCUCUUACUCCCCUACCCCUAUUUUGCUCCUACCCCCUUCCCUCUCCCUGCUGGUAACUACUAGUUGAUUCUCUAUAUCUGUGAGUCUGUUUCUGUUUUGUUAUAUUCAUUCAUUUGCUUUUGUUUUUGUUUUUUUUUUUCAGAUUCCACAUAUAAGUGGUAACAUACAGUACUUGUCUUUCUCUGUUUGACUAUUUCACUAAGCGUAAUACCCUCUAGGUCCAUCCAUGUUGUUGCAAAUGGCAAAAUUGCAUUCUUUUUUAUGGCCGAGUAAUAUUCCAUUGUGUGUGUGUGUGUGUGUGUGUGUGUGUGUGUCUGUGUGACAUCUUCUUUAGCCAUUCAUCUGUUGAUGGACACUUGGGUUGCUUCCAUAUCCUGGCUAUUGUAAAUAGUGCUGCUAUAAACAUUGGGGAGCAUGUAUUUUUUCAAAUUAGUGUUUUCCUUUUCUUUGGAUAUAUAUUCCCAGGAGUGGGAUUGCUGGAUCAUAUGGUAGUUUUAUUUUUAGUUUUUUGAGGAACCACUGUUUUCCACAGUGGCUGUACCCAUAUUAGACUUCUUUACAGUGCAGUGAUUGGAAAGGAAAGCACUAGCUUUUAAGUAAUCUCAUAAAAUCAUUUUCAGUUCAUAGGACACCUUCCUGUCUAUUCCCAAAACUGCCAGUUCUUAUCAAGGGCAUUUUAAUACCUAGCCACUGUUCAGCUGUGGAUGCAGCUAUAUUUACACUUGGUGGUUAGUCUUUAAGAUAGUCUAAGAAUCUACAAGCUUGCUUGAAAAUAGAAAUGAUAUCUUCCUAAUUAAAUGUUUAAAGGUGCUGGGCUUCCAAAAAGAAUGAUAGAUCAAAGAAUCCUUGGAUUUGUUUAAUAAUAAAGGUAUCAGUUAGCCUGGCUAAUUAGCCAGCGUCAGAUGAACUUUAUGUUGAAAUAUAACUUUGAAAUGAAAUGGAAUAGAACUUGACUUUGUAGAUAAAUAAGUAUAUAAAGAAUAUGGACAUUUCCAAGUACGUAUCUAAAACAUACAUAACACUGUGGGUCUGUAUAUGUUGGUGGAGAGUGAGGGAACAGGAGUAGUUAAGGCUGAAAUGCAAGUUUUGGGCAACUGGGUGAAAGGUGAUAGUCUUCACUGAGAUAAGGAACAGAGGAGAUGGAGCCUCUGUGUUUCUGUGUGUGUUUGUGUGUGCAGAGGGGAGUUAGAAGACAGUUUGAAGCACCUGUCGGACAUCCAAUUAAAGAAGUCUAGAAGGUAGAUAUCAAGGUCUGAGACAGAUCCAGGUGAAAGAUACAAAUUUAUGAGUUGUCACCAUGUAUAUGGUCAUUAAAGUCAUGGGCUUGGUUGAGAUCAUCCAGCUGAUAUGUGAGAAGAGAAGAAAACGAAGAUAACCAGAGAAGAAUCUUGAGGAACACAAAUAUUAAUAUUUAAGGAAUGGGCACAAAACGAGGAGCCAGAGUAGAGAUCAUGUUGCAGGAAGGCAGGAUGGUAUAGACCAAUUAGGAGGCAGAGGUGAGGUCAUGGUGGCUCAGAAUAAAGUGGGGGCAGUGGAGGUAAAAGAGAGAUUUUAAAAGAUUUAGUGGGCUUCCCUGGUGGCGCAGUGGUUGAGAGUUUGCCUGCCGAUGCAGGGGACACGGGUUCGUGCCCCGGUCUGGGAAGAUCCCAUAUGCCGCGGAGCAGCUGGGCCCGUGAGCCAUGGCCGCUGAGCCUGCGCGUCCGGAGCCUGUGCUCUGCAACGGGAGAGGCCACAACAGUGAGAGGCCCGCGAACCGCAAAAAAAAAAAAAAAAAAAGAUUUAGUGACGGAUCAUGUGAGGGAUGGGAGAGAGGAAGUCAAGGAUGACCUCUUUUUUUCUGACCUAAACAUCUGGGUGGUUGGAGGUGGGGUUUCCUGAGUUAGAGAGCACUGGGAGAGAAGCAGUUUUGGAAAGGAAGAUAAAGUCAGAACUGAGCAUGUUGAUUUAGAUGUCUUGGAAGACAUCCAAAUAGAUAUUUCUUUCACUUGGUAGAAAUUGAUUGAUUACCUACUGUAGAUCAGGCACUAUGCUUCACACUGGAUGUUCACCAAGGAGAUAUUUGGGUCUGGAACUCUAGGUAUAGCUGGAGGUCUUGGCUGCCAAAGUACAUUUGAGAGUUGUCAGCAUUCAGUUGGCGUUUGAAGCUAUCAGAAUAUAUGAGAUCACAUAGGGAGAGUGAGAAGAAGGCCUAGGAUCCAACCCAGGAAACCUGCACAUUGACCUGGAGAGAAGGAGAUUGAGAAAGAUUGACCAGAGUGUUAGGAGAGUUAGGAUACUAUGAUAUCCAGACUCUCGGAGGAGUUUUGAGGAACACCAUGUGGUCAACAGGGCCAAAUAAUGCCAAGGAGUCAAGCAUAAAAAGGAUUGAAAACUUUCCAUUGGGUUUAUCAGCAGGGAAGUCAUUAGUUAUCUUAUGAGGAUGAAUUUCUAGAAUAGGAAAUGCUGGAUCAAAAGAUAUGUUUGAUAAAUACUGCCAAAUUGUUCUCCAAAAAAGUUCAUACCAAUUUAUACUCCUUCCAACAGUAUAUGGGGGUAUGUGUGUUCUCAUACUGUCACUGGUAGUGGGUAUUAUAAGUCUUAAUCUUUGCCCCAAGGAUAGGGGAAAAUAAUGCCUCGUUAUCUGAAUACCCAUUUCUUUGAUAAUUUGUGAGGCAGCAUGUCUUUUUAUGUGUUUAUUGGUAAUUUUUUUUUCUUCUUGAAAUUACUCACUCAGAUUAUUUACCAUUUGUCCAUUUUUACCGGGAGCAUUUUAUUUUUUUUUAAUUGAUUUUUAAGAGCUCCUCAUAUUAUUAGGGUUGGUGAGCCUCUGCAAAAGAUAUACAUAUCUUUAAAAUUUUUUUAUUGUUCUUUAAAUUAUUCUUACAGCUUAGGACAAAAUUCUGAAGUCCCCUUUAUACUGUCUACCUUUCUCAGUGUUGCCAAGUUUGUACCCUUUGUACCACGGAAGCUGGUGUAGAUGUUUGCUCACUGAAGAGGAAUUACUGGUCAUUGGUGUCUUAAGAACACGUUACGUUCAAGGAUGUGGCCGUGGACUUCACCGAGGAGGAGUGGGGGCAGCUGGACUCCGCACAGAGGGCCCUGUACAAAGAGGUGAUGCUGGAGAUCUAUGGCAACCUGGUCUUAGUGGGAAAGUAACUUUAUGACUGUGCCGAGUGUGGCAAGAGCUUCAGUCAGAGCACAGACCUUCACAUCCACCAGAGAGUCCACACGAGAAAGAAACCUUUCGUGUGUGAUACAUGUGGCAAAGCCUUCAGUUAUAACAGGAAUCUUCAUGUGCAUCAGAGGGUCCACACAGGAGAGAAACCUUUUAAGUGCGAGGAGUGUGGCAAGGGCUUCCAUCAGAGCCCCAACCUUCGCAUCCACUGGAGAGUCCACGCUGGAGCAAAACCGUACAAAUGUGAGAAGUGUUGUGAGAGCUUCAGACAGAACGUAGACCUCCAAGAGCAUCAGAGGGUCCACACAAGGGAAACCAUUUCAAUGGUGAAACCCUUAAAGUACAAGCUUCCGUGCUCAUCAGAAAGUCCACACAGGAGAGAAACCUGUAGGUGUGAGGAGUGUGGAAAGGAUUUAGAUCACAGUGAAUCUUCACAUUCUCCAGAGAAUGAAACUGCAGAUGUGAUGGGUGUGUGAUAAGGGUUUCUUCAGUUAGAGCUUAGAUCUUCGAGUUUAUCUAAGAAUUAAUACAGGAGAAAACCCAGUUAUAUGUGCUAAGUGUAGUAAGGGCUUUGGAAAGAGCACUAACCUUGAGUUCCAUAAGUCCCCACAGGAGAGCAAUGUUACAAAUGUGCAAGUGUGGUAAAGGGUUUCUUAAGAGCACAGAGCUUCUCUGCAGAGCGUCUACUCAGGGGAGAAACCAUUGAUUUCAGUGUCUGUGGUUGGGGCUUCCGUUACAGCACAAACCUUCAUGCACAUCAGAGUCCAUGCGCGGUAGAGACCCUGUGUGCGUGAGAAGUGAGUCAGGCCUUCACAUCCAUUUGACUCCACGUGGGAGAAAACCAUGCAGGUGUAGGUAUGUGCAUAUCUCCCCCUUCCCGAGAGAGCCUGUUUCUACCACGAUUCUGGCAGCUCCAAGAGAGGGCAGCUGCAUGUGCUUUGCUCGCCGUUGUGUCCCCAGCUCCUGGCACAGUGCCUGGCAGGAGUAGCCACCGAGUAAAUAUUUGUUGAAUGAGAAUCCAUGUGGGAGGGAACACCUGUUUGUGUGAUAGUGGGGUAAGGACUUCAAGGUCAACAUGUUGAAGCCUUUUUAGAAAGUGUGUUCACAGUCAGAUCAUGGGUUUUGUCAUGAGUUAAUCCCUGCAGGAGAGAAAUCCUGUGAACCUGAUGAUUAUACUAAUGGACUUAGAGAAAAAUUAUCAAAUUAUUAAAUCAGUGUAGUAAAUUUAAAAAUACAUGUCUUCAGCAUAAGAAUCCACACCCCCAAAACUGUAUCAGCUGUGAAAAUACUUUAGUCAAAACUCAUACAUUAAAAUGUGUAUCUAUUCAGGAAAAAAAAAUCCUGUGUACACCCUAAUGAAGUUAUGUGUCAGGCUCUGGACUGACCACCUCCGCAUAAGGGGGACUCCACCAGAAUCUGGUAGCAGUAGCUCUUCUUUUGUUUUAUAUUUCAUCUCAAAGAGGUUUAUGUUAGACAUAACCAAUGAGUUAUCCAGGGCCAAGGAUUAACAAGGCCUUCCUUUUGGGAGAGACGCCCCUUACCUGGCAAAGUGCCCUUCUAGGCUGGAAGCCUCCUGGCCCUGAUUGAGUGUCUCCCUGCCCAUCAUGUCAUCAGGCUGCUGGGAGCUUUGCACCAUGGAUUGUAGAAAUUCCCAGGUGAGGCAUGUUCAGGGUAAGUGUCUAUAGAAGAGAUAGCUAAAAAAAAGGGGGCUGGGUCAGGGUUUACAGAGGGGAGUUAGAGGAGAGGAAAGCAAGUCUGAAACGGUAGGGAAUAAUUAGAAGAAAUAGGAAAAGAACAGUGCCUGGGAGGUAGUUGGGAGGGGUCAUAGGGGUGGGAAGCCCCAAGGCUUCUCCUAAGUCUCCAGCAAGUGUCUCAACCUCCAGUACAGGGCUCUCCUUGGAGAUCUAUGCUAACCAGAGUGUGGUCUGUAGUGGGUAGAGAUGGACCCCAGUAGCAUCAGGGCCAGUUGGGGCCAGAGGUGGAAGAGUUACUGUGAGGGGCCUUGGAAGGCAACUCUAUGCCCCAUCAUUUCCCCACGUGGCCCAAGUCAGGCGGGACCAUUAUCCCUCCAAUAGAAGGAAGGAUCAUAUAUGCAGGCAAUAAUAAGCUUGACCCCCUUCAGGAGGCAUAAAUUAACUAGAGAACAGCCUGGGGGUCUGGCAAUGAAAAGGGAAGACCUGGACCAGUGGAGGUUAUGAAAAGGUCAGUGACCCAGUGUCAUCUCUAAAUCUGGGUAGGGAACAGAGAAAGUUGGUAAACAUUUCCACUGAGUCCUUCACCUAAGAGCAAUGUAUUUUUCUGCAUCCCCACUAAACAGCCAUUUGGGGGUUAGAAAGGCUUUGGGGCUCUUUAGGAGGACUUCCAGUUGAGCUGUCCAGGGACCACUGGCCUAAGUUGGGAAAGGGGAUGGUAUCCCUGAGGACUGUGAUGGCACCCAAAUACCACUGAAUGCAGGUUAUAUUAAUAAAAUUCUCACAACACUGAGGUUUAUAUUAGUGUCUUUUCCUUCUUCCUCUUUCUUUUUCCUCUCUGUCUCUUCCCUUUUAUUUUCUUUCUCUCUGUUUUUAGAUUUAAAAAAUAUUUGAAGUACAAAAUAUUUCAGACAUACAGAAAAGUUCAGAAAAUGUAACAGCUAUUUUCUCAACUGAGAUUAAGUAGAUGUUAAAUUUUUUGCCAUAAGAGCUUCAGGUUUUUUUUUUUUUUUGGUAUGGAAAAAAAAAAAGCAACAGAUACAACUAAAGCCUCAUGCUCUAUUCUCUCAACUCUGCUCAGAGGUAACCAUUAUGCUUUAGUUACUAUGUGUUGUUCCUCUGUAUGUUUUGGGUUUUUUAUUACCUGUGUGUCCAUGGUAUCUUAAAUUUUUACAUAGGUAACAUCAUCUUGUAUGUUAUCUUUUUGCAAUUUGCUUGAUUCACCAAACAUUACAGUUUUGAUUCUUUUUUUUUUUUUUUGCGGUGCGCGGGCCUCUCAUUGUUGUGGCCUCCGCCGUUGCGGAGCACAGGCUCCGGACGCGCAGGCUCAGCAGCGGCCAUGGCUCACGGGCCCAGCCGCUCUGCGGCAUGUGGGAUCCUCCCGGACUGGGGCACGAACCCCCGUCCCCUGCAUCGGCAGGCGGACUCUCAACCACUGCGCCACCGGGGAAGCCCUGAUAUUUUUUUUAUGCUAAUGUUUUAGAACAAAGUCAUGGAUUUUAACUUCUAUCGUGUUCUAAGCUAUCAGACAGGUAUUCUUUUCAAUAGAUUAUUUGUAUAUCCCUGUGCCAGUAACACAUUUUUGAGUAAUAUAGCUUUAUAGUAAUUGUCUUAGCUAUUUAAAACCCUUUAUUUUUUCAUAUAAAUUGUAGGGUCAGCUUGCUAAAAUUUUUGAAAAAAUCUGUUGGAUUGGGAUUUUGGGAGUUUUGUUUCAUUUUCUCUCAUUUUGUUCUUUCCAUUGGAUUAUGUUUUCUUUCUUCUCCCUUUAUUUACCUCUACAAGAUUAGUAUUUACAUUUUAUCUCCUUUCGUUUUAUGUUAACUUGCAUAACUGUUAAAUUAAGCCCCUCCUUAACAAGAUAGAACAGAACACUAACUACUCCUCCUCUCAUGUUACAUGUUAUUGUUGUAUCAGUGCAUGGUUUUAACUUCAUCAUGUUUUUUUUUGUUGUUUUUUUGUUGUUGUUUUUUUUUGCGGUACACAGGCCUCUCACUGUUGUGGCCUCUCCCGUUGCGGAGCACAGGCUCCGGACGCGCAGGCUCAGCGGCCAUGGCUCACGGGCCCAGCUGCUCCGCGGCAUAUGGGAUCUUCCCAGACCGGGGCACGAACCCGUGUCCCCUGCAUCGGCAGGCAGACUCUCAACCACUGCGCCACCAGGGAAGCCCUCAUCAUGUUUUUAACACACCGCAGAUUUAUCACUAUUAUUAUAUGUUGUAAAUAGCCAACACAAGUUUCGAUUAACUGGAACAUUUACCAGUUUCUUACCACUGGUUCUUGCAUUUCCUCCUUCCUUCUGAGUUCCAUUUCCUCAGCCUCCCAGAGCAGUUGCAGCUUGUAUCGUGGUUAAAAGCACCAGCUCUGCAGUCAGCCUGCCUGGGUUUGAUAUCUGGCUCUGUAGAUCUCUAGCUAUGUGACCCUGGGCAGAGUACUUAAUUUCUUUGUGCUUCAAUUUCUCCAUCUGUAAAAGAGAGAUGAUAGUAUUAUUUACUUCAUGGGGUUGUUAUUAGGAUCAAAUGAAUUAAUAUUUGUAGAAUGAUUAAAAUAGUGCCAGGCACAUACUAAGUCUUGUAAAAGUAUUUCUUUUGUAAAUAAAAUAAAUGAAUCCUUCAGUAGUUUUUCAGCAGGUAUGUCUGAGAGUAGUAAAUUCUUUAUUUCUCCCUUACUUGUGAAUUAUAGCAUAGCUGGAUAUAGAAUUCUAAAUUGGAAUUUAAUUUUUCUCAGUAAUUCCUUAACCUCUAGUGCUGCUAUUAAAAGUCUGUCAUUAGUCUGAUUAUUGUUUCUUUUGAGACAGCCUGACUUUUCCCUCUGGUUAGUUUUAAAAUUAGGAUUUGCAAAAUCCUGAAAAGCAGAAGCAUGUUCUGCCAUUUUACUAAAUGUAUAUAGGAGUGGGUUUACUUGUAUUUUCCCUAAUCAAGACAGUAGCAUGUAAAAUAGCUUUUACAUGCUAUUUUCUCUUUUGCUAAUUUUUCAUUCUUUAUUAUAUCUUUCUACUUCUAUUGGGUGUAUCUUUUUUUUUUCCUAGCGUCUUGAGUUACAUGGUUAGAGUUUAUUUUUAGCCUUUCUUGUUUUCUAAUAAUGCAUUUCAGUGCAUUUAUUAGAAAUUAAAUUUCCCUUGAAUACUUUGGCAGCAUCCCUUGCAGUAUGCAGUUUGGCAGUAUGUAUCAAAAGGCUUUAAAAUGUUUAUGCCAAUUGACUGAGAAAUUUUACAUCUAAGAAUCUAUGUUAAGGGAAUAAUCAAAUAAAUUAUGUGUAAAAAGUAUACAUUACCAUGUGUUAUUUCCACAUUUUUUUGUGUGUGUGUGGUACACAGGCCUUUCACUGUUGUGGCCUCUCCCAUUGUGGAGCACAGGCUCUGGACGCGCAGGCUCAGCGGCCAUGGCUCACGGGCCCAGCCGCUCCGCGGCAUGUGGGAUCUUCCCGGACCGGGGCACAAAACUGUGUCCCCUGCAUCGGCAGGCAGACUCUCAACCACUGCGCCACCAGGGAAGCCCUACAUUUUUUAAAAGAAGGAAAGGAUUACUUCACAAUCCAGAGGAUGUCAUACUGUAUCAUAGUAUAUCUCUAUGAUGCAGUAUUCUCCAACAAAAAAAGUGAUGUUUUUGAAUCAUUUUUAAUGACUUAGGAAAAUUUGCAUAAUAUAGCACAUAUAAAGACACAUACAUAGAGGAAAAAACUGGAAAGAAAUAUACUAAUAUAUUAAUAGUGUCAAUGGAUGAUUUUUAUUUUCUAUUUUAUGUUUUUCAGGAUUUUGCAAGCAGUCGAAUACUUCCCAGUCCCUGUUGACAACAGCAUUAACUCUUCUAAUAACAAAAUGAUACAUGCCUAUUGUAAAAUAUGAAAACAUUAUGAAACAAAAGUAAGUGUAACUGGUUUAAUCAUGGAAUGUCAACUCAGUUGGGUAUAUAAGAUCAUGAAAUGGUUCUUUUUUCCCCCCAGGCUCUGCCUUCAUCCAUUCUGUUGAAUCCCCAUGAAUGAAUGAAUGAAUGAGUGAGUACUGAGUGGGAAAGAGACACUGAGGGAGGGCUUUAGGAAAGGAAGGCUUUUCCUCACCAGUUCCCUGAGGAAGAAUACAAACUGUAUAAAAGAUUACAACUGGUGAAAAUAUUUCCAAUCCAUAUCACAGACAAAGAGAUUCAUCUGCCUAUUUAUCAAGAGCUCUUAGAAAUCAAGAAGAAAAAGCACAGGGACUUCCCUGGUGGUGCAGUGGUUAAGAAUCCGCCUGCCAAUGCAGGGGACACGGGUUUGAGCCCUGCUCCAGGAAGAUCCCACAUGCCGCGGAGCAACUAAGCCCAUGCGCCACAACUACUGAUCCUGUGCUCUAGAGCCUGCAGGCCACAACUACUGAAGCCCAUGUACCUAGAGCCCAUGCUCCGCCACAAGAGAAGCCACCACAAUGAGAAGCCCGCACACCGCAACGAAGAGUAGUCCCCAUUCGCCACAACUAGAGAAAGCCCACACGCAGCAACAAAGACCCAAUGCAGCCAAAAAUAAUUAAGAAGAAAAAGCACACAAAAAAAUGUGAAGAGACUGUUCAGACAUAAUACAAGUGACCCUUAAAUGUAUGGAAGGAUGACAGACUUUUCUCAUAAUAUGAGAAAUGUAUAUCAAAACCAUGCUGAGAUACCAUUUCUCACCUAUGGGAUUAGCAAAAAAUUGAAAAUUAAAAAAAAAAACUUGUUAAUGAGGCAUACAGAAGUAGGCAUUUUCAUACAUUGCCGUGGGGCUUGCAAAAUAGAACAACUCCUAUGGAGAAGAAUUUGACAAUAUCUACUGACACUGUAGAUACAUUUGCCUUUUGAUCCAGAUAUUCUAUUUCUGAGACUCUAUCCCACAGAUACACUUGUACAUGUGCUUUGCAAAUAUCUGGCAUCGUUUCCAAUAGUAAAAAAUAGAAAACAGCACAAAUGUCCACCAACAGAGAACUGGUUUAAUAAACUAUAUCCACACAGUGGAAUGGUAUGCAGCUGUAAUAAAAAAUAAGGAAAAUUUCCUUGUUGAAAUGGAAAUACCUCCAAGAUAUAUUAUUAAAUAAAAAAUGCAAGGUGAAGAACAAUGUGUGUAUGUGUAUAUAAAUAUAUAUUUUAUAGAAAUAUAUAAUGAAUUUUAUGUAAGGAGGAGAAUGAGAAUAUAUAUCCAUAUUUGCUUAUAUUUGCAUAAUGUCACACUGGAAGGAUAAACAAGGGGCUAAUAAAAUAAUUGGAGGGACAGGAGUGAGGGUGAGGAUUUUCUGUACUUUUUUUCUUUUUGUAUUAAUGUAGUUUUUUAAAAAAUUAAUUAAUUAAUUUAUUUAUUUUUGGCUGCAUUGGGUCUUCGUUGCUGCAUGUGGGCUUUCUCUAGUUGCAACGAGUGGAGGCUACUCUUCAUUGCGGUGCACAGGCUUCUUAUUGUGGUGGCUUCUCUUGUUGCAGAGCCGGGCUCUAGGUGCGCAGGCUUCAGUAGUUGUGGCACGUGGGCUCAGUAGUUGUGGACAUGUGCUUAGUUGUUCCGCGGCAUGUGGGAUCUUCCCAGACCAGGGCUUGAACCCAUGUUCCCUGCAUUGACAGGUGGAUUCUUAACCACUGCGCAACCAGGGAAGCCCCUUAAUGUAGUUUUGAUUUGAACAUUCUACCUAUGUUUAAAAUAAUGCUGAAUGAAAUCCAAUGUCAUUUUGGCAUUUAUUGAUAUCAUAAUAUUGGUUUCUCUAUUAAUUAUUUUAUGAUUAAUUAUCUUAAAAUGUUUUCUAUGUAA
This is a long non-coding RNA of Orcinus orca (killer whale), 15422 nucleotides long. RefSeq lists it as uncharacterized. The transcript has 2 exons. NCBI's taxonomy places the organism in Eukaryota, Metazoa, Chordata, Mammalia, Artiodactyla, Delphinidae. The record is from RefSeq and is a predicted model, not a curated record.